UAGAGUUUGAUCAUGGCUCAGAUUGAACGCUGGCGGCAGGCCUAACACAUGCAAGUCGAGCGGAAACGACACUAACAAUCCCUCGGGUACGUUAAUGGGCGUCGAGCGGCGGACGGGUGAGUAAUGCCUAGGAAAUUGCCUUGAUGUGGGGGAUAACCAUUGGAAACGAUGGCUAAUACCGCAUAAUGCCUACGGGCCAAAGAGGGGGAUCUUCGGACCUCUCGCGUCAAGAUAUGCCUAGGUGGGAUUAGCUAGUUGGUGAGGUAAUGGCUCACCAAGGCGACGAUCCCUAGCUGGUCUGAGAGGAUGAUCAGCCACACUGGAACUGAGACACGGUCCAGACUCCUACGGGAGGCAGCAGUGGGGAAUAUUGCACAAUGGGCGAAAGCCUGAUGCAGCCAUGCCGCGUGUAUGAAGAAGGCCUUCGGGUUGUAAAGUACUUUCAGUUGUGAGGAAGGGGGUGUAGUUAAUAGCUGCAUCUCUUGACGUUAGCAACAGAAGAAGCACCGGCUAACUCCGUGCCAGCAGCCGCGGUAAUACGGAGGGUGCGAGCGUUAAUCGGAAUUACUGGGCGUAAAGCGCAUGCAGGUGGUUCAUUAAGUCAGAUGUGAAAGCCCGGGGCUCAACCUCGGAACUGCAUUUGAAACUGGUGAACUAGAGUGCUGUAGAGGGGGGUAGAAUUUCA
This 685-nucleotide ribosomal RNA is filed under the name uncultured Vibrionaceae bacterium. Its description in RNAcentral is "bacterial SSU rRNA". It matches the Rfam family "Bacterial small subunit ribosomal RNA", at positions 1 to 671 of the family's 1533-position model. The record is from RNAcentral. Lineage: Bacteria; Pseudomonadati; Pseudomonadota; Gammaproteobacteria; Vibrionales; Vibrionaceae.